CCGCCUCGCCUCCUCUCAGCCCGGGCCGGGGGCGCCGCCGCCCGCCCUCGCCCUCGGGAAAAGUUUCUCCCGGCCCCGGGACCCCCCUGCCCCGCUCUCGGCCGGCGGGGCCGAGGUCACCUCAGCCAAUACUUGGUUCCUGGGCACUCACCUGGGACAGGAGCCAGCUUGGUGGCCAGCCAAGUAGCUGUGCAGUGCCCAGUCCCAGGGACAGCACCGAGGAAGGUGUGCCAGGAUCAGGGCCCCAGCACUGAGCACUGACCAUCCUACGUAUCACAGUGCUGCUCUCCCCUUCCCUAGGGAGUAGCCUCCCGUUCUGGAUGUGAGAGACAUUAGAAGGAUGUUGUGAAAUAAAACCUAAAGAAGUCCACCGAGAUUCAUCAAUAAAGGGAGGAAUCCACGGACGAGAUUCAGUGUUACUGGGAGCCGUGGAAGUGAGGGAAGCCAAAAAGUGUCCUGCCACCUGCUCCCACUUGUGUUGCAGUUCAGUCCACCAGGGAUGGUGGCUUCCUCGGGCUGGUGGCUCCAGCAGUGGCAGGCUGGCAGCUGGGUGUGUAACACAGCCAUCAAAGACUUCAGGUGGGCACUUCAAUGUCCACCUUUCCUCUGUUUUUCCGUGUUCCUGCUCUAAUCGCACCAACAGAGCAGCCAAAAAUUAACCUCCUUCCACCUGGCCCAAACAGGCUCUUUUAGAAGAGUUUCUGGUGUCUGGCAGCAGCUUUGCCCUACCUUACAUAGACAAGUGCUAAAAUAAAUAUCAUCCUCUUAAAAUGUA
Chiroxiphia lanceolata (lance-tailed manakin) is the source of this 775-nucleotide long non-coding RNA. RefSeq lists it as uncharacterized. Lineage: Eukaryota; Metazoa; Chordata; Aves; Passeriformes; Pipridae. The record is from RefSeq and is a predicted model, not a curated record. The transcript is spliced from 3 exons.